Molecule: ribosomal RNA, 440 nt
Filed under: uncultured bacterium
Lineage: Bacteria
Description: partial 16S ribosomal RNA
Rfam family: Bacterial small subunit ribosomal RNA
Source: RNAcentral
CCUACGGGUGGCAGCAGUAGGGAAUAUUGCACAAUGGGGGAAACCCUGAUGCAGCAACGCCGCGUGGGGGAUGAAGGUUUUCGGAUCGUAAACUCCUUUUCUUAGGGAAGAUAAUGACGGUAUCUAACGAAUAAGCACCGGCUAACUCCGUGCCAGCAGCCGCGGUAAUACGGAGGGUGCAAGCGUUAUCCGGAAUUACUGGGCGGAAAGCGUGGGUAGGCGGGUUAGUAAGUCAGAUGUGAAAUCCUAAGGCUUAACCCUAGUACUGCAUUUGAAACUGUUAUACUAGAGUGUGGGAGAGGUAGGUGGAAUUCUUAGUGUAGGGGUAAAAUCCGUAGAGAUCAAGAGGAAUACUCGUUGCGAAGGCGACCCUCUAGAAUAUAACUGACACUGAUGCACGAAAGCGUGGGGAGCAAACAGGAUUAGAUACCCUUGUAGUC